RNAcentral lists this ribosomal RNA (82 nucleotides) under Faecalicatena faecalis. RNAcentral describes it as "partial 23S ribosomal RNA". It matches the Rfam family "Bacterial large subunit ribosomal RNA", at positions 2843 to 2925 of the family's 2925-position model. The record is from RNAcentral. Lineage: Bacteria; Bacillati; Bacillota; Clostridia; Lachnospirales; Lachnospiraceae.
GACGACGAGGUAGAUAGGGCAGAGGUGGAAGUGCAGUAAUGCAUGGAGCUGACUGUUACUAAUAGGUCGAGGGCAUAACCAA